AGUGAUUUUUUUUUAAAUGGCCGCAGUACCUUGACUGUGCUAAGGUAGCAUAAUCAAUUGGCUUCUAAUUAAAGUCUGGAAUGAAAGGAAAUAUGAAGUAAUUCUAUCUUAAAGGAUUUUUUUUGAAUUUAUUUAAAUGAUGAAAAUAUCAUUUUAUAGAAAAAAGACGAGAAGACCCUUAGAGUUUUGAUAUUUAUAUAUUUUUGUUGGGGCGACAGGUAAACAUAUAACUUUACGAAUUAUCAUAUUGAUCGAUUUUUUAUAAGAAUAAUAAAACUACCUUAGGGAUAACAGCAUUAUAUUUUUUUAUGAUUGUGACCUCGAUGUUGGACUAGGAACUUUAUGGCUAGCCGUCAAAAAAGAUUUGUUCUGUUCGAACAAUUUUAUCCUACAUGAUCUGAG
Molecule: ribosomal RNA, 402 nt
Filed under: Biomphalaria straminea
Lineage: Eukaryota; Metazoa; Mollusca; Gastropoda; Planorbidae
Description: partial 16S ribosomal RNA
Rfam family: Bacterial large subunit ribosomal RNA
Source: RNAcentral